CCAACGGCUCUUUUAAGAGCCACCCAAGAUUUCACAAUUAGGGCUG
Molecule: non-coding RNA, 46 nt
Organism: Calypte anna (Anna's hummingbird)
Lineage: Eukaryota; Metazoa; Chordata; Aves; Apodiformes; Trochilidae
Source: Rfam